UUACAGCUGCACUCUCUAGCAAAUGGUGAGCUCAUGCUCUGGCGUAAGGAUUUUACUGGAACCACUUACACUUAUAUUACAAAGUUAACUUUGAGCUGCUAUAGAAAGUUCACUCUGAGGUGAGGCUUGUAAUUACAUUAAAUUAACGACUGAUUACUUUCUAUUUUCAAACUGUUUCAAUCUUCAUUUAUACCUGCUCUAUUGUUACGUUUCAUUUUCUUACACGCACACACGUCGUUCCGACUGGUUCCCCUCCCACUCCUGUCAGUUGUCAGUUUCGAAGCAAAAUUAACGUGGUUUUGAGAAGACUCUAACCGCAAUUAGCAAACCGAUUCAUUUCGGUUGUUAUGUUUAAACUUUGAAGCAAAUAAAAUGUUAUUAUUAGUCGUCGUUGUAGAAAUAGUAAAUCGUUUGACUGAAUGUUUUAAGCAACGGUCCUCUGAAUUCGAAGUCUUCCUUUCGCCCGUUUGACGUGGAUGAAAUUAACCACCAACAUACCUGAAGUCCAUUCAGUCGUUUAGGACCCUGAACUACAUCAGUUGACUUAAUGCUUAACUAUAAAACCAUUCACAUAUAUAUAUAUAUACAUACAUACAUACAAUCACACACACAUACACACACACACACACACAUAUAUAUUUAUAUAUAUAUAAAAUUCGGUAUAUAAAAUCUGUACACUACUUCAAACAAUCUAUACAUUUGUAUAUAUACAAUUUCCUUUUAGAACUAUUCCACUUUAUAAACACUGUCAAAGUGUUUAUGAAACUCUGAGAUAUCACGUUUUCCCGUUUAAUGCUUAAAUUAUCACUUCUUGAGAAGACACUGAUAUAGCAGAAAUUGUAGUUGUCUGACAGAAUGCCUUGCGGUAUUUAGUUGCAACUCUCUAUGUGAUAAGUUCGAAUCCCAUUGAAAUUGACUUUGUCUUUCAUCUUCCGGUAUCGAUAAAAUUAAGUAUUAGUUAUUGUUCUUUAGCCUUAGUCCACUCCAGUCGAGCAGAUCUAUGGUGAAAAGUGGUCUAGCCAUGACAGUCCGCUGUCUUACUUAUUUAGGACUACCUUGUCAUAUGUGUUCUUCAAUUUUCAGGACGGUAGGAUGUAAUUUGACUGCUAUUUCUAACACCUCGAGUGACCAUUUGAGGCUUUUUUCGUAAACAUGAAGUCAAUCUAAUAAACUAUAUCCACCCAUCAAACGGCACUGCGCUCAUACUAAAAAGCAAUUUUAUGUUGUCGUAGAAAUGGCAGUGCAUUAGCAGAAUGGUAAGAGCUUUCGGACAAAAUUCCUUUCUAAUCUGAGGUCAAUUCAUCAUUUAUCCUCUGAGGUCGAUAAAAUAAGGUACUGGGGUUGAUUUAAUCGACUACGUACACCUCAAUUAAUUUCAGGACUUGUGCCUAUAUUAGUCUCUAUUCGUAAAAACAUUGUUGGCUUUUUGCCUAAAUUAAAACGUCUAUUAUUUUUAAUAGUAGUUUUGAUAAAUUAUCCACUUCUUUAUUUUAAUACAUGUUAUAUCAAUCACAUGCUCUGUUACACGACAGAGACGGCAUGUUGGUUUCAGUUCCUACCCUAAAUUUGGUAGUUCUCCCAAUUUUCGGUUAAUCGCCUAUUUUUAUCUCUCUGCCACUGCCCCCCCCUCUCUCUCUCUCUAUAUAUAUAUUUAUAUAUAUAUAUAUAUAUAUGUAUGUACACACACACACACAAUACGUGUGUACGCUCAAAUAUAUAUGAUUUUUUUUUGUUUCGCUUUGGUCAAUUAUAUUUGGCCCUAGUACUUAUUUCAGAUUGGCAUUUAUUCUAUGUAUUUCUACUUCAUGAACAAAUAAAUUGUUGUAAAAAGACAUGACAUACAUUCACCACACAUAUACCAAUACGAUGAGUUUCUGCCUAGUUUCUGUAUACCAAAUUCUCCUCAACACUAUCUUGAUUAACCCAAAGCUAAAGUUAUGUCUCAAUGAAAUCGAACACAGAACCACAUGGGUGUGAAGUAAGCUUGUUAACCACUCAACCAUGGUCUAUGAAAAAUAUAUGAAUGUAAUAUUGUCCAGACUAAAUGCUUGGCAGCUUUAAUUCUACUGAGGUCAACUUUGCCUUUCAUCCUUUUGGGGUUGAUGAAAUAAGUUGUACCAGUUGUGCAUUGACUAUCCCACCUUCCCAAAAUUUCAGGCCUUGUGCCUAUUGCAGAAAGGAUUAUAUUUGGUUGUUGGUAUGGCCAAGUGGUUAAGAAGUUCACGUUGCAGUUGUGAGAAAGGUAUAACAUUGUCAUAAACUGUGCUACCCCGGUUCUGUAGUAAGAGCACAUAUGUCUAGAAUGCUUAGCCACUUGUUAAAUCAGGAGCUGGUUAUUCUGUUGGUUAAGUGACUGAAUUCUCGUUGUUAAAGUAUGGAAGCCCAUCCCAGGAAGCUGUUGGACGAAGUGGUGAGAAAAGAUCUUACAGAGGUUGAAACUCACAGAGGGGAUGACGGGGGACCAAGACUCCUGGCAGUUUCCUUUGCUUGAAAAUACACAUCAAGUUAAGUAAAGGUGUGAUUAGGUUCAUCCCUUGCAACCCUCUCUAGCUGAGCAUCCUUAAUCUUGCAGGCUUGUAGGUGCUGGUGCAACAUAAAAAAGUACCCAUGCCGGUGAUAUGUAAAAGCACUCAGUACACUCUCUAAAGUGGUUGGCAUUAGGAAAGGUAUCCAGCCGUAGAAACCUUGUCAAAACAGACGGGCCCUGAACAGCUCUUCAGCUGGUCAGCUCCUGUGAAACCGUCCAACUCAUACCAGCAUGGAAAAUGGACGUCAAAUGAUGAUGACGAUGAUAUGUAUAUUGAUAUAUAUAUACGGAGUGGUUGGCGUUAGGAAGGGCAUCCAGCUGUAGAAACACUGCCAGAUCUGACUGGAGCCUGGUGCAGCCCCGUGGCUUCCCAGACCCCGGUCGAACAGUCCAACCCAUGCUAGCAUGGAAAGUGGACGUUAAACAAUGAUGAUGAUGAUGAUAUAUAUAUAUUUUGGAGAUGUACUUGCAUAGCAAGUGACCUAAUCUGAGAUCGUGUGCUGAAACAAAAGCAAUUGCAGCAUGGAAGGUGUUUAUAAGCCAUUUAAAAACACAAAAAUCGUUAGAUUCACUUCAAGUAUGGAAUUUUAUCAGUGAACAGGUCAUGGUCUCAAAGCAACAAAAAUAUUUUGGCAAAUUAAAUAUAAAUGUCGAAGUAAAUCUAACAGUUUUUGUUUUUUAAAUGGCUUAUAAACACCUUCCACACUGCGACAUACAUAUAUAUAUAUAUUGUAUGUAUGUACAUACACAGAUCUAAUUAUAUAUUAUCGGAUGGAUAACAUUUGUAAUAUAAAUUAUAUAAGACAUAUAUUUAUUGUCAUCAUUAUCAUCAUACUUGUGUCUUUCUGUGGUGGCAUGUGUUGGACAGAUCUGCUCCAACUGGGCAUCUUGUCACAUGUUGCAGUCACUUAUCAUCCCCCUGGUCAGUUUUAGCAUUCUAAGAUCAUCUUUCAUUACCCCUUCCCAUGUCAUCCUCAAUCUUUGUCUUCUACGGACAUCUACUUGAAUUAUUUUGGCCCCUUUUCACCCAACUGUCAUGUUUCACAUGUAUAUACCUGUGCAGCCUUCUCUCUUGCACAACACAACUGAUUCCUCUAAAUAUAGAAAUAUAUUUGUCUCUUUCAGGUGUCUUAGAGUUUGUUGAACUUUUUUCUGAAGAAUAACUGCAAGGAAACAGAAAGAAAGAAAUUAACCAAAAUGUUUGAAGACUGGGAUUGGAAUGAGAUGGUAGGGAGAUUGAUCAGGUGGGCUGCAACAAGCCCAUGGGAAUUCAUCUACUACGUGCUCUUGUGUUUGUCUCCGUUUUUCUUUGUCAGUGCCAUCUUGGCAUGGCAGCUUGCCAAACAAAUAGAACACAAGGAAAAGAGAAAGAAGAAGACAAAUAAAAAAGAGUCUAAUGUUGCAAAGACUCGACGACAAAAAGCUGACUGAACCUCCCAAAGCACCACCCACACUCCCACACGCCUACAAAUAUAAGUUUUUGUAAAUUACAUAUAUAUAUAUAUAUGUUUAUACACAUACAUUAAAUGCUUAAUAAUUAUUUAAAUAUAUAUAUGAUAUAUGUGUGUAUAUACAGAUACAUAUGUAAGUUAUAAUGUUUAAUAUUAUACAUGCAUGUAUAUAUAUAUAUAUAUGAAUAAAAGUUUUGUGAAAUAGGGAGGUAUCUUUUAUUUAUAAACAGAUUUGGAAAGUUUGGAUUUUCCUAAGGAAAGGAGAUAGAAUAUUGCUCAACUCCUUUUAUUUUGUUCUUUAUGUUGUUGUCUAGUGUCGGAAAAUUCAGACUUUUUAUAUGUGUAUAUAAAUAAAUGAAGAAGAGAUAUCUCCAUUACAUCUAAUUUUUCUAUCAAUUUUUUGAAACAUUGUAGUGCACCUGAGCACUAUAUACAAUAAGAUCAUGAUAUACAAAUACACACAUGCAAGCAAGCACACACACACACACAUAAUAGAUGGAUUAUCCUUCUGUUACAUUACAGCUAAAAGAUUCACCAUUUGCAGAUCAUCUGAUAAUGAACCAAAUCCAUUUUUUCUAUGUUCAAUGCUCAAAUGUGUAUGUUUGUGUUUAUAUAUAUAUAUACAUAUAUAUAUAUAUAUAUAUCUUGUGCUUGGUACAUGUCAAGGCUCUGUCCAGGAGUUACAAAUCUCAAAUCAAGAAUGCUGAUCUAUCAGGAGACAAUUGGAAUAAUGGUGAGACUGGGCAUCAGUAUGGUCGAGCCUUUGCAGAAGCUUAAAAACCAAUAAUUUGUCUCAGUCUAUUCAGAAACUCAACAGCAAUAGCACAAAAUACACAGCAAACAAACAACUAGAAAUCAAGAAAUUUUUUGUUGUAUGUGUCCUCGUUACCAUUUUCAGCACCGUGCAUGCAUGUGUCUAAAUAUGUAUGUGCAAUAUGUAUAUAUGUAAUGUAUGUAUGCAUAAUAUUUAUGUUUACAUGUCAUAUAUAUUAUUGAUGCAUGCUAAUAUAUUGGUUUUAACAAAUGGGAAAAGAAAAAUUCUCAGUACUUGAGUAGAAUGUAACAGUAUAUUACUUAGGAUGAUCCAAUGGCCUGUUUCUCUAGAAUUACCUUAACUGUAGCCAGUUCCUCUGAUAGUUGUAGAAUGAUUCAGUCUUUUAUCUGUUGAAGAAACUGGCUACAUAUUGGAUAUACUCCAGGGCAAUGAGUAACUGGAUCAGUGUAAAUAAGCUAUAUAUAUAUAUAUAUAUAUAUAUAUAUAUAUAUAUAGUGUGUGGUUAAGUUAAAUUUAAGCCUUCUCUAUAUGUACAAACUUAUGUAAAGAACUACUGAAAUCUUGUUUAUGUCUCAAUUAUAUCUGAAACAAAUUUCAUGGAUGCAUCUCUUUUAUAUGAUAUAUUAAAUGUUUUUUUUUUAUUGUGAGAGUGAUGGGGGAGGGGGCCUUUGUUAACUCCCCCACCUUAGCUUACCUUUCCUCAUAUUGAAAGUCAACUUCUGCAAAGCUGUCCAAUGAGUUUUGAAGAUACGGCGUUUCUUUCCUUGAUCUUUUGGAUUUUAUUUUUAAUACUGACCUACUGGCCAAGCAAACUAGAUUAAUUUAUUGAUUGGUUAAAACUGUUUCACCUGUGACUUAUGUUUUUUUCAUCAUCAUCCCCAUCAUUUUAACUUAAGGUUGGUGAAGUAUGCACCAGUCAAGUACUGGGUUAUUUAAUUUGCCACCUUGUGCCUACAUUAGAAAAAAUUAUUGUUGUUAUUAUUAUUAUUAUUACUACUAAGGUGGCGAGGUGGCAGAGUUGUUAGCAUGCUGGGUGAAAUGCUUAUCAGUAUUUCGUCUCCUGCAACAUUCUGAGUUCAAAUUCUGCCAAGGUCGACUUUGCCUUUCAUCCUUUCAGGGUUGAUAAAGUAAGGACCAGUGGAGUAUUGGGAUCAAUGUAAUCUAUUAGUCUCCUCCCCCAAAAUUUCAGGCCUCAUGCCUUUAGUAGAAACAAUUAUUAUUAUUAUUAUUAUUAUUAAGGUGGUAAGCUGGUAGAAUCAUUUGUGUAUUGGAUAAAAUGUUAAGUGGCAUUUCUUCCAGUUUUUAUGUUCAGGGUUCAUCCUUUCAGGGUUAAUAAAAUAAGUACCUGUUG
This 6104-nucleotide long non-coding RNA is filed under the name Octopus vulgaris (common octopus). Lineage: Eukaryota; Metazoa; Mollusca; Cephalopoda; Octopoda; Octopodidae. The record is from RNAcentral.